RNAcentral lists this ribosomal RNA (500 nucleotides) under uncultured bacterium. RNAcentral describes it as "bacterial SSU rRNA". It matches the Rfam family "Bacterial small subunit ribosomal RNA", at positions 340 to 860 of the family's 1533-position model. The record is from RNAcentral.
UACGGGAGGCAGCAGUGGGGAAUAUUGGACAAUGGGGGCAACCCUGAUCCAGCCAUGCCGCGUGAGUGAAGAAGGCCUUCGGGUUGUAAAGCUCUUUCAGAUGCGAAGAUGAUGACGGUAACAUCAGAAGAAGCCCCGGCUAAUUUCGUGCCAGCAGCCGCGGUAAUACGAAAGGGGCAAGCGUUGUUCGGAUUUACUGGGCGUAAAGGGCACGCAGGCGGUCUUGCCAGUCAGGGGUGAAAGCCCGGGGCUCAACCCCGGAACUGCCUCUGAUACUGCAAGACUAGAGACUAGGAGAGGGUGGUGGAAUUCCCAGUGUAGAGGUGAAAUUCGUAGAUAUUGGGAGGAACACCAGAGGCGAAGGCGGCCACCUGGACUAGAUCUGACGCUCAGGUGCGAAAGCGUGGGGAGCAAACAGGAUUAGAUACCCUGGUAGUCCACGCCGUAAACGAUGAGUGCUAGUUGUCGGGACUUCGGUUUCGGUGACGCAGCUAACGCAU